RNAcentral lists this ribosomal RNA (253 nucleotides) under uncultured bacterium. Its description in RNAcentral is "partial 16S ribosomal RNA". It matches the Rfam family "Bacterial small subunit ribosomal RNA", at positions 524 to 776 of the family's 1533-position model. The record is from RNAcentral.
GACAGAGGUGCCGAGCGUUAGGCGGAAUCACUGGGCUUAAAGCGUGUGUAGGCGGACUUCUAAGUACCUUGUGAAAUCCCACGGCUCAACCGUGGAACUGCUUGGUAUACUGGUCGUCUUGAGCCACCUAGGGGCAACCGGAACAAACGGUGGAGCGGUGAAAUGCGUAGAUAUCGGAAGGAACACCUGUGGCGAAAGCGGCUCACUGGACCAUUACUGACGCUGAGACGCGAAAGCGUGGGGAGCGAACAGG